This 256-nucleotide ribosomal RNA is filed under the name uncultured bacterium. RNAcentral's name for it is "partial 16S ribosomal RNA". It matches the Rfam family "Bacterial small subunit ribosomal RNA", at positions 28 to 279 of the family's 1533-position model. The record is from RNAcentral.
GAUGAACGCUAGCGGCAGGCUUAAUACAUGCAAGUCGAGGGGCAACAGGGGUAGCAAUACCUGCUGGCGACCGGCAAACGGGUGUGGAACACGUACAGAACCUUCCUUUAAGCGGGGGAUAGCCCGGAGAAAUCCGGAUUAAUACCCCAUAGUAUUGUUGGUUGGCAUCAAUUGGCAAUUAAAGAUUUAUCACUUAGAGAUGGCUAGUGCGGCUGAUUAGGUAGUUGGUUGGGGAAAGGUCCCACCAAGCCAUCGA